GAUGAAGAACGCAGCGAAAUGCGAUAACUAAUGUGAAUUGCAGAAUUCCGUGAAUCAUUGAGUCUUUGAACGCACAUUGCGCCCCUUGGUAUCCCGAGGGGCAUGCCUGUUCGAGCGUCAUUUCACCACUCAAGCCUGGCUUGGUGUUGGGCGACGUCCUCUUUGGGGACGCGCCUCGAAACGCUCGGCGGCGUGGCACCGGCUUUAAGCGUAGCAGAAUCUUUCGCUUUGGAAGUCGGGGCCCCGUCUGCCGGAAGACCUGCUCGCAAGGUUGACCUCGGAUCAGGCAGGGAUACCCGCUGAACUUAAGCAUAUCAAUAAGCGGAGGA
This 329-nucleotide unclassified non-coding RNA is filed under the name soil metagenome. RNAcentral's name for it is "partial contains 5.8S ribosomal RNA, internal transcribed spacer 2, and large subunit ribosomal RNA". The stretch from base 1 to 120 matches the Rfam family "5.8S ribosomal RNA", at positions 35 to 154 of the family's 154-position model. The record is from RNAcentral.